Long non-coding RNA from Brassica napus (rape), 1635 nucleotides. RefSeq lists it as uncharacterized. NCBI's taxonomy places the organism in Eukaryota, Viridiplantae, Streptophyta, Magnoliopsida, Brassicales, Brassicaceae. The record is from RefSeq and is a predicted model, not a curated record. The transcript has 5 exons.
GAGUGUAAUACUUUGUGGAAAGGAAAAAAAAAACAAAGCAAUAGAGCUCUAAACCAGCCCUAUAAUGAAAAUUUUGAGUUGGGAUCUUCCAAAAACAUGCAGCCACAAAGCUAAAUUCAAAGUUUUUACCAAUUAUAUACUGAGAAUAUAUAAGCCAAAGCAAAACCAACAUGCAUAAAGGGCAAUGAAACAAGUGGUAAUCAGAAAGUUGAGAUCAGCCAAUAGCUAUAUUCACAAGAAACAAUACAAUAAGUGGAAUCUUAUUAUAUAAAGAAGACUUUUCUCUCUUCCUCCUUGCGCUACGUCAUCAAAUAGGUGAACCACAGUUUGCCACGUGUCCUCCUCACACUACAAAAACUCAAUCUUCGUUUUGGUUGCGGAAGGGCUUUUACACAAGUGAGCUAUCUUAGUAUUGGGCCGGAAAAUCAUCAGAAACCUAGGCCCAUUAGGCGCCUUCGCUUUCUCGACGUGAAGCGGACUUUUGUUUCUAAGGUUCAUCGUCGUCUCAGAAAGCUGAUUAGGUAUAACAUUAAUGGAGAUUCUCAAAAUUUGAGAGAGACGAGUCUUCUUCAUUAAUCGCUGUGUCUAUCUCGGUUCGUGUUGUAUUGUUUCGUUUUCGAUUCAUCUCCUUACUGGCGUUACAAGUUCCAUUGAUUCAGUGUCAUUAAUGAAAUCUUAACUCUUCCGAGCCACUGCAACCACGACCAUUCAAUUAAUGAUUAUUAUACCUUUCCAAGCGGUGGGUCUCUACCUAUAAAAAGGUAAGACCUCAUCCCUUGAGAAUCAUCCUCACAACUCCAAUAGCAUUUGAAGAUGACCAGCAUGGAGAUUGGCUUCUCCUCUUUCCUUCCCUCAACAGGUUAUAUCAGUCAGUGGAAAAUUCUGAGUCCAUGUAAUUAAAGCUACCGCAAACUACAAUGUUGAUGCUAGCGUAUUCAAUUGUUUGGAAGAGCCUCUUCUAUUCACUUAGUGAUCAUCUUUAAGGAUGUUUUAGCUUCUUUAGUUCUCUGUUUUAGUACUGCAGAUUUCUAGGCUUAUUGUGAUUACUGACAUUGUGUCUUUUUGGUCCAGACACAAUCCAUAACCAGGAUCGUAUUUAUAUCCCUUAUACCAAUACUUGAAAGGCUGUUAAGUCAUCAUUCUACUAAACUCGUAUCAUCUAAAGAUCUCAACAUCAGAAGUAGAGAGCUUCCACAAGAACAAUAUAUAUGAUGAAGCAGAGGAUGCUGUAAGGAUUGAUUUAGCAGGCAGAUUUGCUAUACAAUAUUUCUCUACAGAGAAGCUACUUAAGGUGAAUAUACAUACCGGAGGAGAUUGAUACAGAGCUCGACUUGGUUCUUCCAUAUCAAAUAAAUUUUAUGUCUAGGCAGCUCUUCGGCAACGGUUUCCAACUUUUAAAGCAGGAAGGAUUUGAAAAUACAAAACUAAAAUUCAUUAGAAGCUUUGUGGUUUCGGAAAGCUCGAGGAGGCAGACAAGCUUUUGGCUAACGUUCUGAGGACAGCAUUGGGAUCUGAUGUUUUUUUUAUCAAUUUUUUUUUUAUCAAAUGGGAUCUGAUGCUAAUACGUGUAAUAUACUUAUGAAUGAUAUCUUAGUAAAGUUGUACCUUUGUAAGGAUAUAGAGUGGCUUCUCUCA